Molecule: long non-coding RNA, 430 nt
Organism: Girardinichthys multiradiatus
Lineage: Eukaryota; Metazoa; Chordata; Actinopteri; Cyprinodontiformes; Goodeidae
Exons: 2
Source: RefSeq, a predicted model, not a curated record
AUUUUUACUGCGCAUCACAGGUAUUCAAACUUUUAGAUAAUAUCCGCGUCAGAGGCAUCUUCAAUGUUUUACCGGGGAGGACACCUUGGUUGUCGCGGGGCCAGGUGAGCCUAAGCUGAGCUGAGAGUGUACCCAUCUUCUGAUGGCUACUUCCAGAAGAAUAAUGCAACAUGUCCUGAAGAUCAAAUUUCCCAAACUACAAUGCAUUGUAUUCCAGUGGCCUCCAAGGUCAACAGAUCCUAAUCCAGCAAAGAGCACUGUUGGGAUGUAGUGGGCAUUCAUGCCAUGGAUCUUCAGCCAAUAUAUCGGCAGCAGCUGUGUGAUGCUAUCAUACCAAUGUGGACCAAAACCUCUGAGGAAUGUUUCUGAUGCCCUGUUGAAUUUGUGCAUUGUGUACCUACUAAAGUGGCCAGAGAGUAUUUCUUUUGCA